Molecule: unclassified non-coding RNA, 150 nt
Filed under: soil metagenome
Description: partial internal transcribed spacer 1
Source: RNAcentral
CCGAGUUAUACAACUCAUCAACCCUGUGAACAUACCUAUAACGUUGCCUUCGGCGGGAACAGACGGCCCUGUAACACGGGCCGCCCCCGCCAGAGGACCCCCUAACUCUGUUUUAUAAUGUUUCUUCUGAGUAGACAAGCAAAUAAAUUA